RNAcentral lists this ribosomal RNA (256 nucleotides) under uncultured bacterium. RNAcentral describes it as "partial 16S ribosomal RNA". It matches the Rfam family "Bacterial small subunit ribosomal RNA", at positions 524 to 776 of the family's 1533-position model. The record is from RNAcentral.
UACGUAGGUGGCAAGCGUUGUCCGGAAUUAUUGGGCGUAAAGCGCGCGCAGGUGGUUUCUUAAGUCUGAUGUGAAAGCCCACGGCUCAACCGUGGAGGGUCAUUGGAAACUGGGGAACUUGAGUGCAGAAGAGGAAAGUGGAAUUCCAAGUGUAGCGGUGAAAUGCGUAGAGAUUUGGAGGAACACCAGUGGCGAAGGCGGCUUUCUGGACGGUAACUGGACGCUGAGACGGCGAAAAGCGUGGGGAGCAAACAGG